UUGCCCCAGAGAAGGAGAUCAAGCUCAAGGAAGAGAAGAAUCGCCAGUUGGAAAAGAAGAAAAAAUCAUGGGCCCACCUUCAGGGGGGGAGAAGUCUCAUCUUUCAAUGAGGAUUGAAGAGAUUAUUAAUAUAUUUAAGUGCCAGAGGUGCAUGUGAGAAAACCAGGCUGCCUUGUCUGCUCAACAGAUGGCAGGGCCGAGUGGUUGCACAGCUCAGGAGGAGGCACUGGCCAUCCUUUUGCAAAAUGCAGCAUCCCUGGGCAGAAAGCCUGCAUUCGCGAUGGUGAUGAUAAUUUCAUGGAUGGGUAUUCAUUUGAUGCUGUUUAUUGUCUCCCCUGAACCGGCUGGAAUGUGAACUUCAUGAGGAAUUGUAUGUCUGCUUUCAUGGCUGUAUCCUCAGUGCUUGGAGCAGAGUAGGCAGCAGCUGACAGAAGGCACUUGUGGUAGGCAGAACAAGGGCCCCCAAAGUUGUCCAAGUGCUGAUCUCUGAAACUGACUAUGUUACCUUACCGGUCUUCUGAUUCUUGGGCUUUGCUGAUGUGAUUAAAUUAAGGGUUUUGAGAUGGGGAAAUCUUCCUGGAUUAUCUGGGUCAAUAUAAUCAUGAGGGACCAUAAAGGUGAGGAAGCAGGAGGGCAGAGUUGAAGAGGAUGCAAUGAUGGAAGCAGAGGUGGGAAUGAUGCAAUUGCUGGAAGGGUCCAUGAGCCGAGGAAUGUGGACAAUCUCCCAAAGUUGAGAUAGGCAAGGAAAUGGUUUUUCCUCUGGAGGCUCCAGAAGGACUACUAACCUGGCACCCUAUUUUAGACUUCUGACCUCCAGAACUAUAAGAAAAUAAAUUUGUGUUGCUUUAAGCCACUGAGUUUGUGUUAAUUUGUACACCAGCAAUAGGAAACUAAUAAGCACUCAAAAACAUCUGCUGAAGAAAUGCAGGAACGGGCAGGGCUUCCAUUUCUUUGUGAAAUGGGAGGCUUGGACUUAGCUAAUGACCUCUAGUGCAG
This is a long non-coding RNA of Mustela erminea (ermine), 996 nucleotides long. RefSeq lists it as uncharacterized. The transcript is spliced from 3 exons. Lineage: Eukaryota; Metazoa; Chordata; Mammalia; Carnivora; Mustelidae. The record is from RefSeq and is a predicted model, not a curated record.